Nematostella vectensis (starlet sea anemone) is the source of this 449-nucleotide long non-coding RNA. RefSeq lists it as uncharacterized. The transcript has 2 exons. The record is from RefSeq and is a predicted model, not a curated record. NCBI's taxonomy places the organism in Eukaryota, Metazoa, Cnidaria, Anthozoa, Actiniaria, Edwardsiidae.
AUGAACAUUGAAAAUACAAAAAGAACGUCGAUUUAAAUUGAACGGAUUAGAUAGUUUAGACAAUUGUUUAGUUGAGUUACCACGGCUUCCUCUAUUUUGAGCACAGCCGCCCUCUCCUAUGAUUAGACUGAUAAGAUUUAUUGUAGUUUACGCAUUUCCCUUUGAGUAAGAGUUUAGGAAUGGGGCACGUCCUACUUUAGGACACGUCCCACCUGCCUAUAAAUUAUAGUACCCAUUUAGCAAUCUUUAAGAGUUGAGCAGAGAAACCGAAGAGAGAAGAGUUGAGGUAAGAGCCAGAGAAGCAGAGUUAGAGAAGUCAGAGUAAAGUUUGAAGAGUUACAAGCUUACUUGGAGUUGUAUUUCUUUAAGCCCCGGAGACGAGAUCAGACUUAUCACCGCAUGUGUUCGAUAGUUGGACGAGUUGAUUGUAAUAAACGCUGUUAAAUCAA